Molecule: ribosomal RNA, 254 nt
Filed under: uncultured bacterium
Lineage: Bacteria
Description: partial 16S ribosomal RNA
Rfam family: Bacterial small subunit ribosomal RNA
Source: RNAcentral
UACGUAGGGUGCAAGCGUUGUCCGGAAUUAUUGGGCGUAAAGGGCUCGUAGGCGGUCCAUCGCGUCGGGAGUGAAAACCUGGGGCUCAACUCUGGGCGUGCGGUCGAUACGGGCAUCACUAGAGUUCGGCAGGGGAGACUGGAAUUCCUGGUGUAGCGGUGAAAUGCGCAGAUAUCAGGAGGAACACCGGUGGCGAAGGCGGGUCUCUGGGCCGAUACUGACGCUGAGGAGCGAAAGCAUGGGUAGCGAACAGG